This 404-nucleotide unclassified non-coding RNA is filed under the name soil metagenome. RNAcentral describes it as "partial contains 5.8S ribosomal RNA, internal transcribed spacer 2, and large subunit ribosomal RNA". The stretch from base 1 to 121 matches the Rfam family "5.8S ribosomal RNA", at positions 35 to 154 of the family's 154-position model. The record is from RNAcentral.
GAUGAAGAACGUAGCGAAAUGCGAUAAGUAAUGUGAAUUGCAGAAUUCAGUGAAUCAUCGAAUCUUUGAACGCACCUUGCGCCCUUUGGCCAUUCCGAAGGGCAUGCCUGUUUGAGUAUCAUGAACACCUCAACUCUCAUGGCUUGCCAUGAUGAGCUUGGACUUUGGGGGUCUUGCUGGCCUGCGGCCAGCUCCUCUCAAAUGAAUUAGCUUUCCAGUGUUUGGUUGGCAUCACAGGUGUGAUAACUAUCUACGCUUGUGGUUUCCACCAGGUAACCUUCAGUAACAUGGGGGUUUGCUGGAGCUCAUAAAUGUCUCUCCUCAGUGGGGACAGCUCUUUGAACGUUUGAUCUCAAAUCAGGUAGGGCUACCCGCUGAAUUUAAGCAUAUCAAUAAGCGGAGGA